GAAAUGCGAUAAGUAGUGUGAAUUGCAGAAUUCAGUGAAUCAUCGAAUCUUUGAACGCACAUUGCGCCCUUUGGUAUUCCUUAGGGCAUGCCUGUUCGAGCGUCAUCUAAACCCUCAAGCCCUGCUUGGUGUUGGGUGCCUGUCCCGCCCCCGUGCGUGGACUCACCUCAAAUCCAUUGGCGGCCCUCGUGCCGGCCCCGAGCGCAGCAGAAACGCGGUCUCGUGGCCCGGCGGAGCGUGCCCCCAGAAGCAACAUUCACCGUUUUGACCUCGGAUCAGGUAGGGAUACCCGCUGAACUUAAG
Molecule: unclassified non-coding RNA, 303 nt
Filed under: plant metagenome
Description: partial contains 5.8S ribosomal RNA, internal transcribed spacer 2, and large subunit ribosomal RNA
Rfam family: 5.8S ribosomal RNA (bases 1-105)
Source: RNAcentral